This 588-nucleotide ribosomal RNA is filed under the name Chloropicon mariensis. RNAcentral's name for it is "partial Archaeal large subunit ribosomal RNA". It matches the Rfam family "Archaeal large subunit ribosomal RNA", at positions 367 to 994 of the family's 2987-position model. The record is from RNAcentral. Lineage: Eukaryota; Viridiplantae; Chlorophyta; Chloropicophyceae; Chloropicales; Chloropicaceae.
CCGUAGGCGAAUGGAGAUGGGAUUUCGCUGUGUCCAGAGUAGCUGGCCUUGGCAGUGGCCAGUGAAGUUGGGUGAAAGUAGUAUCCAAGGCUAAAUAUUCAUCAAGACCGAUAGAAAACUAGUACCGUGAGGGAAAGUUGAAAAGUACCCCGGAAGGGGGGUUAAAAGCGCCUGAAACCAACCGGUUACAGACGUGUAUGGCUCGAAAGGAUUUAUUUCUAGAGUCAUACGUUCCGUCUAGAAACACGGGCCAGGGAGAUUGCUGUCAUGGCAAGCUUAACCUUUUACAAAGGGAAGGCGAAGGGAAACCAAACUUGCGCAUUUUUUCCUUAAUGGAAAGAAGAGGCAAUGGAUCUGAAAGGGUCUUAAGUCAUGGCAGUAAGGCUAGAAACCGGACGAUCUAGUCCUGGAUAAGACGAAGGUGAGCGAAAGCUCGCUGGAGGUCUGCAAGGGUCCUGACGUGCAAAUCGGUCCCCUGAUCUGGGAUUAGGGGUCAAAAACCAAUCUAGUCCGGUGAUCGCUAGUUCCCACCGAAGUGGAUCGCAGUCCUGCCUUAGCUGAGGUUGUCUGUAUUGUAGAGCACCGAUC